CUCGGUGUAUCCCACCCCUCAGACUUUCUUACCUUUUGAUGUAGCUCUUGCUGUACAGGAUCUGCUGAAGCAAGGUCACCAAGGCAAAGGCGCAGAUGAAGAUAAAGAGCAAAGUUCGAUUCCCCAACAAAUCUCUGUUGGCGGAGGGGUCUGCGUAGCGCAUCCUGGCGGCCCGGCGCCGCGGACGCACUGUGCGGGGCGGGGCAGCAAUCACGCGCGCUAUGCGGGGGCCCCGGGGGCCCUUAGGAGAACUGCGUGGUCAAGAGGGCAGAGGACUUGGCGGGGCAAAGUUUCCCGCGGGCGCAAUCCCGGAGGCGGCAGCAAAAGGACAGGGCCGGCCGCGUGGAGAUCCUCUGAGCCCCAGGCCUGCCCUCUCGUGCUGCGGCUUCUGGGAGCCGGUGUCCCGCAGCCGCGGAUCUGCCCGUGGAGGGGCGACGGCAGGUGCGGGGACCGGACCGCCCUCCCGCCGAGGUGACGACCAAUGGGGAUCCGGGCCGGCGAGGCUGGGCCGAGACUCAGCCCGACGCGCCGCCCACUCUGGGCUGGCUCGGGAUUCGGGGCGCCAGGCGCAUGGAGCUGACCGGGGAACAGCGCGUCUGGUCCCCGCGCCCGCAGCCCGGGAGUGCGAAGGUUGGCCUCCGAUGCUGCGGAGGCGAGGUGGGCGACGCAACCUCAGGACGCCGGGCCGUGGGGAGGGGGAGGGGCGUAGCGUAAAGAGCCAGGUUGGAAUCGGGGUUCGGAGGACGCAGACCGCAGAGGCAACCUCAUCGAGACGAGCAUUUGCAUGCGGUACGCAGGUCAUUGAGUCACCGCGGCAGCGUCCUCGUGCGCGGCUGGAGAAUCCUCCGUGAAAGCGGAGCAAGGUCAGCCGGGCAGACCUUCAAGGACGGCGCGCGCGGCCCCUGCAUGCUAAUGGACUGAGGGACUGUCCCUGGGGCCUUGACUUCCAACUCUGGCUGAGCAGAAAUUCAGGGUCUGCCGUCCCGUUCCCCCACCCCACCGUGCACUAUCCCUACCCCCGCCGCUACCCUCUCACCAUCCCAACAUCUGCAGCUCGCGGCCUUUUGUCAAUAACCCCAUUGUCACCCAGAUAGUAGGACUUUGUCUCAUCCUUUGGAGCUAUUCAUAGACAGUAGGUCAACAGCAGGCCGCCUUCGGGUACUACGGUUGCCCAAAGCUGUAAGAAGUCACUGGGUCCAGCAGUGAGCACUCUGUGCUUCAGUGUAAGCUGGGGAAACCGUCCCCAGAGAUG
Molecule: long non-coding RNA, 1252 nt
Filed under: Mus musculus (house mouse)
Lineage: Eukaryota; Metazoa; Chordata; Mammalia; Rodentia; Muridae
Description: predicted gene 7276 (ENSMUSG00000073532.4)
Source: RNAcentral